This 569-nucleotide ribosomal RNA is filed under the name Cortinarius hinnuleus. RNAcentral's name for it is "eukaryotic LSU rRNA". The stretch from base 180 to 333 matches the Rfam family "5.8S ribosomal RNA". The record is from RNAcentral. Lineage: Eukaryota; Fungi; Basidiomycota; Agaricomycetes; Agaricales; Cortinariaceae.
UGCGGAAGGAUCAUUAUUGAAAUAAACCUGAUGGGUUGUUGCUGGUUCUCUAGGGAGCAUGUGCACACCUUGUCAUCUUUAUAUCUCCACCUGUGCACUUCUUGUAGGCCUUUCAGGUCUAUGUUUCUUCAUUUACUCCAAUGUAUGUCAAUAGAAUGUUGUGCCUAUAUAAUAUAUACAACUUUCAGCAACGGAUCUCUUGGCUCUCGCAUCGAUGAAGAACGCAGCGAAAUGCGAUAAGUAAUGUGAAUUGCAGAAUUCAGUGAAUCAUCGAAUCUUUGAACGCACCUUGCGCUCCUUGGUAUUCCGAGGAGCAUGCCUGUUUGAGUGUCAUUAAUAUAUAUAUAUCAAACUUCUCUUGUUGAGUGGUUUGGAUGUGGGGGUUUUUGCUGGGCCUCUUUUUUAAGGGUUCAGCUCCCCUGAAAUGCAUUAGCAGAACAACCCUGUUCAUUGGUGUGAUAACUAUCUACGCUAUUGAAUGUGAGGGGCAGUUCAGCUUUCUAACAGUCCUUGGACAAAUUCAUCAUUAAUGUGACCUCAAAUCAGGUAGGACUACCCGCUGAACUUAA